AUGAACGCUGGCGGCGUGCCUAAUACAUGCCAGUCGCGCGAACAGACGAGGAGCUUGCUCCUCUGACGUUAGCGGCGGACGGGUGAGUAACACUUGGAUAACCUACCUAUAAGACUGGGAUAACUUCGGGAAACCGGAGCUAAUACCGGAUAAUAUAUUGAACCGCAUGGUUCAAUAGUGAAAGACGGUUUUGCUGUCACUCAUAGAUGGAUCCUCGCCGCAUUAGCUAGUUGGUAAGGUAACGGCUUACCAAGGCAACGAUGCGUAGCCGACCUGACAGGGGGAUCGGCCACACUGGAACUGAGACACGGUCCAGACUCCUACGGGAGGCAGCAGUAGGGAAUCUUCCGCAAUGGGCGAAAGCCUGACGGAGCAACGCCGCGUGAGUGAUGAAGGUCUUCGGAUCGUAAAACUCUGUUAUUAGGGAAGAACAAAUGUGUAAGUAACUAUGCACGUCUUGACGGUACCUAAUCAGAAAGCCACGGCUAACUACGUG
RNAcentral lists this ribosomal RNA (496 nucleotides) under uncultured bacterium. RNAcentral's name for it is "partial 16S ribosomal RNA". It matches the Rfam family "Bacterial small subunit ribosomal RNA", at positions 29 to 507 of the family's 1533-position model. The record is from RNAcentral.